ACGUCUACUACUAGCCUACGUGCAAAGACAACAGCUGGCAGCAGUGUGACCGGGAAAAUGCGAUGAGCUGUCAUGUGACACACGCAAACACAAGAAAGCGGAAACGCAUGAUGGAGCGAGAGCCACAGUGGGGUCCUUGGUCCAUUUCCCGUGAGGUGUGUUUUCCUGAAGAGGCUGAAACAUGCUGGCCUUGACACCUCAGUCCUUGCUUCCAUUAA
Sardina pilchardus (European sardine) is the source of this 218-nucleotide long non-coding RNA. RefSeq lists it as uncharacterized. Lineage: Eukaryota; Metazoa; Chordata; Actinopteri; Clupeiformes; Clupeidae. The transcript has 3 exons. The record is from RefSeq and is a predicted model, not a curated record.